This 2317-nucleotide unclassified non-coding RNA is filed under the name Daphnia magna. RNAcentral describes it as "uncharacterized LOC123470517, transcript variant X2". The record is from RNAcentral. Lineage: Eukaryota; Metazoa; Arthropoda; Branchiopoda; Diplostraca; Daphniidae.
AUGCAUAUUAUGCAUUUGAUAUUUUCCGCACUAGCCUAUGGCAUUGAAAAUUACAAGUGCUGUGUGAUGCUUACCCCUCCUUUAUUGCUAUUUUCGCCUACCUUAUGACAUCCUCUUCCCGAUUUCCUUCUCUUUUUGGCGGUUGGCAAUUGCGAUUUAAGGCCACGUAUUUUCUUGUCUUAAAUUUUCAUUCAAAACGUUAUGAUGGUAAAAAUAAAAGAAGGAUGUGUCCUUUAAUGCCAUUGCAAUGUCAAACUCUAACUGGAAUCGUAGGAUUGACAAUAAUUGUCAUAAAUAAACAAUAAGGAUCCUACAUAAGAUUGUCGUUGCUUUUUCAACGGGUAACUGAUUGGAUGAUAGAAUGACAAGGGACAUUGCUUAAUGCUUAUACGGGUAAAUACAAAUCUAAAUAUUGAAAUCUAAUUGUAAAUUGAACUCGGCGAUUAAUAUUUGCGCUCUCGUUUCGUAUAACUCUUAGCCAAUGCAUAAACCCAUUAGUGUCGACAUCGGCCGCAAGGUGAUAUGGAGGAUUCUUGCAUGUCAUUAACGGUGUUGAUGCGUGAUGCCACACCCUAAAUCGAAAACCCACGAUAGCGAUGGAAAUGCUGCAUGAGAGGAUCUUCGCUACACCACACAGUGCAAUAGAGGCGGGGAAAGAAACUGGAAAUUCGAAAAUGUUCAACUUCAAGAUGCCUUUGGGCUAAAGCGAUGAAUCAGGGUGACGGUAGGUAUUAUAAAAAUGAACGUGUGAAGUGGAAGUAAACCAGUUACGUUGGUGCCUUCAAACUGACUCCAUCGUCGGCAACAUAUUGCAUCGGCAACAUAUUGCAUAUUCGGUUGUCAAUCAUGCGGGACUACGAUGUCAUGCUGCUGUUUGCUUUUGCCAUUUUGAUGGCUACAUCGGCGGGUACCGAUGGGUUUGUCCUCAUCUGGACACUAGACUACACAACCCCUACGCCCUACUACACCACCUCGUAUGCUGCUCCCUCUUACAGCACCAAGGCUCUCGAAUAUUAUACCACAUAUGCAGCUGCCAGCUACUACACCGAGUCUUCCAACUACUUAAUACACGACCAGAACGCCCAAAUACUACACGACCAUAUAGUCUACUCCGCUCCAACAUACUACACUCAAGCCAUUAAAUACUAUGCUGCUCAAAGGGGGAAAAUAUAACUUUUUGUUCGAAACUGUGGCUAUUGAAAUAAUGCAGGGAAACUUAUGAAGACAAAACCAAAAUCAUGUCUUGAGUUCUUUGAGAUUCACUUGAACUUAACACCAGAGAAGGACCUGCCUUUGAUCAGAAACAGAACUGGUGAUAUCCAUAGCAAAAUAAACUGUGAACUUUUACUAUUAAAAAUGGAGAAGUUGUGCAAUGUAGGACCACACUCAAGACACAAUUAAAAAGGAGUGCCGGAAAUUGCCCGAUUGUGUUAUCAACGUAGUUUGGUGCCUAAAUUCACGGUAUAUAAGAGUUGAGUGCAUUUCUAUGUGUAGCGGCACUUGAAAUGACUGGGUGACGGGCUCUCCCACUGUUGGGACUGCUAUAGUAACCAAGAGUCUGUAAGCAAUUACAACUCGAAAGGUGAAGCGUUGGAAUGGGAUUGGCCCCCCAUUGCAAUGCAAGACUGAAUAGAGAGGUAAGAGCCCUCAGCUGAUGUCACGAUGUGGAUCAUAUAGUACAGCAAUAUGAUCUCCGUCCGGGCAGGUCUGGAGGUUACUAAAAUAGCAAGUCAAUCAAGUGCUUAGCGCAACCCUUUUUUUUUUCUUUUUGUUUUCAACAACUAUUUAAGCAUUUCCCUAAAAUAGAAAUUACAGGAUGAAACUAGGAAAUUAGCUUUAAUGGUGGAAAUGCAUACGGAAAAGAAUUUCGCUACACUAUGCUAUUCAAUGAAAUAGGGUAAACAGCAGAAGUAAGAUUUAAAGAUGCCCAAUAAAUUCUCUAUGCCAAUGGGCUAACGUAAUGAAUGAAGUCAAUAUUCUGUACUAGGUAUCAGAAGAUAUAAUAUCAUAAACAGAUUCACAAAUAUUUGAUAUAACUCUAAAAUUUUAAACUGUAAAUUAAUGUUCAGAAUUACAAAGCUGUUCAAAGCAAAAUUGAAAUUGCCUUCACCCACCUUAUUUGAUAAAGAAUAGACAAAAUAAUGGAUUAGGUAACGAUAUACAUUUGUAUUCAACAUUUCAUUGAGAAACCACAAUGUUAUGGAACGACUGGUGAAUGCAUAAAUAUAUAUCAAGGAAAUACUUAAUUUGGAACGAGGACUACCAAUGAUAAAACAAAAUCUAAUUGACACUUCAUCGAACUAGAUAGACAACACAA